RNAcentral lists this ribosomal RNA (472 nucleotides) under uncultured bacterium. RNAcentral's name for it is "bacterial SSU rRNA". It matches the Rfam family "Bacterial small subunit ribosomal RNA", at positions 194 to 686 of the family's 1533-position model. The record is from RNAcentral.
CUUCGGGGGAAAGAUUUAUCGGCAAAGGAUCGGCCCGCGUUGGAUUAGGUAGUUGGUGGGGUAAUGGCCUACCAAGCCGACGAUCCAUAGCUGGUUUGAGAGGAUGAUCAGCCACACUGGGACUGAGACACGGCCCAGACUCCUACGGGAGGCAGCAGUGGGGAAUCUUAGACAAUGGGCGCAAGCCUGAUCUAGCCAUGCCGCGUGAUCGAUGAAGGCCUUAGGGUUGUAAAGAUCUUUCAGUGGGGAAGAUAAUGACUGUACCCACAGAAGAAGCCCCGGCUAACUCCGUGCCAGCAGCCGCGGUAAUACGGAGGGGGCUAGCGUUGUUCGGAAUUACUGGGCGUAAAGCGCACGUAGGCGGACAGAGAAGUCAGAGGUGAAAUCCCAGGGCUCAACCUUGGAACUGCCUUUGAAACUUUUUGUCUUGAGGUCGAGAGAGGUGAGUGGAAUUCCGAGUGUAGAGGUGAAA